RNAcentral lists this small nuclear RNA (310 nucleotides) under Octodon degus (degu). Its description in RNAcentral is "7SK RNA (ENSODEG00000023942.1)". It matches the Rfam family "7SK RNA". Rfam says of the family: 7SK was discovered as an abundant small nuclear RNA in the mid-70s but a possible function has only recently been suggested. The record is from Rfam by way of RNAcentral. Lineage: Eukaryota; Metazoa; Chordata; Mammalia; Rodentia; Octodontidae.
GGAUGUCAGGGCUAUCUGGCUGCGACAUCUGUCACCCCAUUGAUCACCAGGGUUCAUUCCACUGAGCUGGCUGGCCAGGCAGGUGUCCCCUUCCUCCCUCAACAAUUUGUGUUCAUCCCACCCAAAGCUGUGCGCUUGGUCAAAGAGGAUGACCACACCCAAUAGAGAAGGGCCAUUCCUGUGUCAAGGGUAUCAGAGUAGCUGUGCUUCCCUGCUAGAACCUGAAAACAAGCCCUCAAAAGUUCCACUAGGGUAGCAAGUAGGUCUCUUUUCUCAUCUAAAUCAUAUGCUUGACCUGAGUCAACAAUUU